RNAcentral lists this ribosomal RNA (468 nucleotides) under uncultured bacterium. RNAcentral describes it as "partial 16S ribosomal RNA". It matches the Rfam family "Bacterial small subunit ribosomal RNA", at positions 28 to 507 of the family's 1533-position model. The record is from RNAcentral.
GACGAACGCUGGCGGCGUGCUUAACACAUGCAAGUCGAACGGAAAGGCCCUGCUUUUGUGGGGUGCUCGAGUGGCGAACGGGUGAGUAACACGUGAGUAACCUGCCCUUGACUUUGGGAUAACUUCAGGAAACUGGGGCUAAUACCGGAUAGGAGCUCCUGCUGCAUGGUGGGGGUUGGAAAGUUUCGGCGGUUGGGGAUGGACUCGCGGCUUAUCAGCUUGUUGGUGGGGUAGUGGCUUACCAAGGCUUUGACGGGUAGCCGGCCUGAGAGGGUGAACGGCGACAUUGGGACUGAGAUACGGACCAGAAUCCUACGGGAGGCAGCAGUGGGGAAUAUUGCACAAUGGGCGGAAGCCUGAUGCAGCAACGCCGCGUGCGGGAUGACGGCCUUCGGGUUGUAAACCGCUUUCGCCUGUGACGAAGCGUGAGUGACGGUAAUGGGUAAAGAAGCACCGGCUAACUACGUG